UACGUAGGGGGCUAGCGUUGUUCGGAUUUACUGGGCGUAAAGCGCGCGUAGGCGGACUUGUAAGUUGGGGGUGAAAUCCCGAGGCUCAACCUCGGAACUGCCUCCAAAACUACAAGUCUGGAGUAAGAUAGAGGCAAGUGGAAUUGCGAGUGUAGAGGUGAAAUGCGUAGAUAUUCGCAGGAACACCAGUGGCGAAGGCGACUUGCUGGAUCUUUGCUGACGCUGAGACGCGAAAGCGUGGGGAGCAAACAGG
RNAcentral lists this ribosomal RNA (253 nucleotides) under uncultured bacterium. Its description in RNAcentral is "partial 16S ribosomal RNA". It matches the Rfam family "Bacterial small subunit ribosomal RNA", at positions 524 to 776 of the family's 1533-position model. The record is from RNAcentral.